This 404-nucleotide ribosomal RNA is filed under the name uncultured bacterium. Its description in RNAcentral is "bacterial SSU rRNA". It matches the Rfam family "Bacterial small subunit ribosomal RNA", at positions 355 to 776 of the family's 1533-position model. The record is from RNAcentral.
UCGGGAAUAUUGCGCAAUGGAGGCAACUCUGACGCAGUGACGCCGCGGAUAGGAAGAAGGUUUUCGGAUUGUAAACUAUUGUCCACAGGGAAGAAAAGGACUGUACCUGUGAAGAAAGCACCGGCGAACUACGUGCCAGCAGACGCGGUAAUACGUAGGGAGCAAGCGUUAUCCGGAUUUCUUGGGUGUAAAGGGUGCGUAGACGGGAUAACAAGUUAGUUGUGAAAACCCUCGGCUCAACUGAGGAACUGCAACUAAAACUAUUAUUCUUGAGUGCAGGAGGGGAAAGUGGAAUUCCUAGUGUAGCGGUGAAAUGCGUAGAUAUUAGGAAGAACACCAGUGGCGAAGGCGACUUUCUGGACUGUAACUGACGUUGAGGCACGAAAGUGUGGGGAGCAAACAGG